GCCAUUCGGAUUCUAGACUUGGCUCCUCAGUUUGGUACGGAGCUUGAAAGCAGGAACUAGGAGAAGUUGGCUACAUAUCCUGUGCCAGCUAACAUUGAGGCUGUGAAGGAAUUUUACACUAAUGCCUUAUCCAGAGGAGUGCACAUGGAGAGGUACACUAGUUAUGUGCUGGUGACCCCAAGACUAUUAACAACUUCCUGGG
Molecule: long non-coding RNA, 202 nt
Filed under: Vigna radiata
Lineage: Eukaryota; Viridiplantae; Streptophyta; Magnoliopsida; Fabales; Fabaceae
Description: long non-coding RNA (VRAD_LNC006854)
Source: RNAcentral